Molecule: ribosomal RNA, 373 nt
Filed under: uncultured bacterium
Lineage: Bacteria
Description: bacterial SSU rRNA
Rfam family: Bacterial small subunit ribosomal RNA
Source: RNAcentral
GAUGAACGCUAGCGGCAGGCCUAAUACAUGCAAGUCGAACGGUAACAGGUGUAGCAAUACAUGCUGACGAGUGGCAGACGGGUGAGGAACACGUACACAACUUCCCUCUUACCGGGGCACAACUCAGAGAAAUCUGGGCUAAUUCCCGUAAUAUCACGAUGUGGCAUCACAUUGAGAUUAAAACUCCGGUGGUAAGCGAUGGGUGUGCGUCUGAUUAGCAGUUGGUGAGGUAACGGCUCACCAAGGCAACGAUCAGUAACUGGUGUGAGAGCACGACCAGUCACACGGGCACUGAGAUACGGGCCCGACUCCUACGGGAGGCAGCAGUAAGGAAUAUUGGUCAAUGGAGGCAACUCUGAACCAGCCAUGCCGC